UACCAGCACCCCGAGUGGUCGGGACGAUUAUUGGGCCUAAAGCGUCCGUAGCCGGUUCUUUACGUCCUCCGUUAAAUCCACCUGCUUAACAGAUGGGCUGCGGAGGAUACUAUAGAGCUAGGAGGCGGGAGAGGCAAGCGGUACUCAAUGGGUAGGGGUAAAAUCCGUUGAUCCAUUGAAGACCACCAGUGGCGAAGGCGGCUUGCCAGAACGCGCUCGACGGUGAGGGAUGAAAGCUGGGGGAGCAAACCGG
Molecule: ribosomal RNA, 253 nt
Filed under: uncultured bacterium
Lineage: Bacteria
Description: partial 16S ribosomal RNA
Rfam family: Archaeal small subunit ribosomal RNA
Source: RNAcentral